UAUUGGUAGGCGGCUGGCCGAGCUAGCUAGCUGCCGCCAGUCGUCAGCCACAACCACUACCACCAGACCGGAGGAAAGAGAGACGUACGUACGCACCGGCGAGUCAUUGGCCGGCCUCGGCGCGGGCUGACGUACUUGCGUCUCUCUGCCUCGCAAUUUGCAUUUGUAAUUCCGGCUGCGUGGUGCAUGCUUGCUUCCUUCGCGGGAGAGAUAUCGACGUCUCAACCAUCUCUCCGUUUUUCUUCUCCAUGGUUGCCGCCUAUUAAUUCAGCUCCAUCUUCCAUUCCGAUGGCAACCAGUCAAGUCAAGGUUUUCGAUCUCCUGGGUUUACAUUUGGGAUAUUGGGUCCAUGGAAGGAGGCAGGCUGCUAUAUAUACGAUGGUGUGUUUAAUUCGCAUCCCGGAGAGCUAGCUAUGCUUGCUUGCUUGCCUCUCCGAGGAGGAUUACUGGCUUGUAGAGUGCGAUGUUGGCAUGGUUCAAUCAACAAUCGAGUGGUCUCUGCAUAGCUUCCUUGCUAGCGUGGUGGCAUGCUGCUUUGCUUCAUCUGAUUGAGCCGUGCCAAUAUCGCAAGCUUCCUGCCUAGCGCGCGGCCUAUGCUGUGAGGAAAUACUUGCUUCUUAAUAAAGGUUUGAAUGCUACAUGAUUUUUCUUACAGUAGUAUUUCCUAGCACGGCAUUUCGAAGGAAAUUCUCCACCCAUUCAGAUUUCUUACAAAUAAUCCUUUCUUUUUCAUGUUGUUCCAUCAAACAAUCUUCGGUAAAAAAAAAAAUCCAGUGAUCAUGACACUACCUGGUUUUAUCUAUUUAUAUGCAUCUUUGACAUCUUGUGUAUCAAAGAGGCAUACCUAGGAUCCUUGGUGUGGGCUACCCUCCAUUCCACAGUUCAUUUCAUAUAUGUUUUUAGAACUCGUGGGGCACCUCUUUCCCGCAUCUCCCAAUGUUAAUUCUAAUAGAUUGUGCUGCUUCCCAAUAUAAUCUAUGGCAAUGCAUGAGGUUAUUAUUUUCGUAA
Molecule: long non-coding RNA, 1008 nt
Organism: Lolium perenne
Lineage: Eukaryota; Viridiplantae; Streptophyta; Magnoliopsida; Poales; Poaceae
Source: RefSeq, a predicted model, not a curated record